UGUCAUGGCGGUUGUGCGUGGGAGACCUCAGGGUCUGCCGGGUUCUAGGGGCCGGUCUGCUAACCCGCGUACAGUCGCCACCUUU
Molecule: non-coding RNA, 85 nt
Filed under: Pseudomonas corrugata
Lineage: Bacteria; Pseudomonadati; Pseudomonadota; Gammaproteobacteria; Pseudomonadales; Pseudomonadaceae
Also listed under: 1 other name
Source: RNAcentral